GAUAAAUGACUGGUGGAAGGAUCACAAAUUUCAUGUUAAAAGGCUGCUUAUAAAAAAUGGAAUACGGUGGAAGAACGUCUUGCUAAUCCACCACACAAUGUUGUUGAGAGUCAGUGGAGGGUACUCGUUGAGGUUUGGAAUCCUGAUUUGAAGAAACAAGGAAUAUGCCAAAUAAAUAAAGAAAACAGGGAGAAACCAAGAUUUUACCAUACUACUGGCUCUAAAUCACAUGCUAAGUGUGCAGCAGAGCUGGGAAAGAAACUAGGACGACGUCCUAAACAUCAUGAAGUCUUUGGCGAUACCCAUAUCAAAAAGAAGAAAACUGAAGACCCAGAUGAAGUAUUGAUGGAUCCAUAAGUGGCUGCAGAACUUAAGGAAAUGGACGAAGUAGAGAACCAAGCUAGCCGAUCAGGUUCUGAUAUUGUGCUACAAGGAUGACAUGAUGCUUCUUCUCCAGUGAGAGGACGAGAUAAAGGUGGUCGUGUUCUCUAUUUAGGCAAUGGUAUAAAGCCAAAGAAAUAUUGGGGUGAAGAAUCAUCCACCAAUCCUACCACUGACCCAAAUGCUGAAGUUUUGAACCUUAGACAACAAUUGGAGAAUACUGUUGCAGAACAACAGAUAGCUGAAAUUGAGGCACAUGUUGCGCAUCAUGGAAUGGGAACUGGCAACACUGUUAACCCAUCGACUGAACUUCAAGCAGCAAUGCAACGGAUAGCUGAACUGGAGGCACUUGUUGCACAUCAUGGACUGGGAACUGCCAACACUGUUACCCCAUCGACUGACGCAGAGAUCAGGAACAGUCCAUGAAUGGAAGAUCUUGGUGCACAUAGAUGCUUGACUAAUAUACUACUUACAUAUAACUGAUCUGGCGACUGAGGUGCUUGUUUUUUUGUAAUACAAGGGAAUAAAAUCUAUUUCUUUUUGUUUUCAUGCCAUCAGUUGUGUUCUUAUCAUGUCCCCAACUCAUUCCACUGGCAUUUUGGAUGUUGAUAAUUUUAGUUACCAACUUUUUGAACUUUCUGGGUGUUGUUUUGUUGCCCAGAUUUAUGUUUUUUAAACAAUGAAACAUCUUACUGUUGUUUCUAUAGUGCAUCAAUGUAAACUUUUUUAUGAAUAGUAUAAGAAUUCUGCAA
Long non-coding RNA from Papaver somniferum (opium poppy), 1133 nucleotides. RefSeq lists it as uncharacterized. The record is from RefSeq and is a predicted model, not a curated record. NCBI's taxonomy places the organism in Eukaryota, Viridiplantae, Streptophyta, Magnoliopsida, Ranunculales, Papaveraceae. The transcript has 4 exons.